RNAcentral lists this ribosomal RNA (353 nucleotides) under uncultured bacterium. RNAcentral's name for it is "partial 16S ribosomal RNA". It matches the Rfam family "Bacterial small subunit ribosomal RNA", at positions 338 to 688 of the family's 1533-position model. The record is from RNAcentral.
CCUACGGGUGGCAGCAGUGAGGAAUAUUGGUCAAUGGGCGGACGCCUGAACCAGCCAAGUCGCGUGAGGGAAGACUGCCCUAUGGGUUGUAAACCUCGUUUGUCAGGGAGCAAAGCCGGCUACGUGUAGCCGGACGGAGAGGACCUGAAGAAAAAGCAGCGGCUAACUCCGUGCCAGCAGCCGCGGUAAUACGGAGGAUGCGAGCGUUAUCCGGAUUUCUUGGGGUGAAAGGGUGCGUAGGCGGAAUGCCAAGUCAGCGGUAAAAUCGCGGGGCUCAACCUCGCUGCGCCGGUGAAACUGGCGUUCUUGCGUGGGCGAGACGUAUGCGGCAUGCGUGGUGUAGCGGUGCCAUG